UCCGGACGCUCAGCCGACAGUCAAUCACACCACUGUCUUAUUGGGUUUGCCGUCUCAGUAGAACAGAACGUGAGGACAGUCUUCGGCCAAGUGCCUCUGGUCCAAUCGCUGCUGUCGGACAGCAAGCUCGCUGUCCUCCGGCAGAAAACUGCGCUGUACUGACGUUAAGAAAUUGAUAGUCUGACGGCAAUGCAGUGUCGUUACGCAAUUGUAACACUCCACCACACUCUGUUAAACAACUGUGUCAGAUCUAUCACUGGAGCCAUCGAGUGAUGGAUCUUCUUUGCGUCCUUUCCUGCAGAUUGCUUUAUCUGACGCUGAUAUCAUGCGUAGGAGCAGUUGCGUGAUUAACAUGAAAGCCGUAUAACUGAAGGCGUGAAAUGUAAAGUAACAACCCGUUUUAGUGCGAUGCACAGUUAUGGUAACAUCAUGUUUCGAGAGACAUUGAAUUUUUGGUGCCUUGUGACAACUUUGAAACUAAUUCUUGAGCUGCACGAAGGGUUUCUUUGCCUUUGCCCGCCCCCGCCCCCAUUGUUCCUAUUAACCUUAUUUUUGUAUUAAUUUUCGUUCAAAUACAAUUUUAAAACUACCCUAUCAUGGAGCAGAACCUUUCUUGUAAGUCUGUAGUUUCUCAGCUGGCCAAUUUAGUCCCUGCUUUUAUAGAACCAGAAGAUUAAUUAUCACUUUGGACCCAAUUCUGGACCUAUUAAAAGUGAUAUAAAAUAUGCAUACAAACAAAACUGUUUACACCAUGAAAGACACUAAUGUCAAACGCGUUUCGACCUCAAGAGGUCUUCAUCAGUGGCAAAAAAACAAGUUAAUUCAUAUAAUACAAAACAAAAGAUUGUGGUUUUUAACAGAGUACAGAGGUAAGUUCUUUACAAAACCAUAUUUAGUAACACCUCACUGGAUGUUGGUUGCACAGGAGCUGGUGUAUUGUAUUGGGCACGUAGCUAUUAGUCACUGGUCUGAAGGCAGUUGUUGGUCUACGGUGAGCCCACGCUUUGUGGAAGUUCUCAGGCACAGACGACGCAACCACGGCUCGUUGCAGACCAACAAAGGCCAUCAGACCAGUGGACUAAUAGCUAAGUGUCCAAUGUAAUACACCAGCUCCUGUGCAACCAACAUCCAGUGAGGUGUUACUUAAAUAUGGUUUCUAAACCGUCCCCCGGGAGGCUCGACUUCACGCUGGACAUGCAUCGCGCCGAGCAGCUGAUGGUGAGGAUAAAGGCGGCCAAGCGGAGGCGCUGCUGGUGCCGGGUGGUGACGUCACUCCUCGGUCUCGUGUUCUUCCUCAUGUCUGUCAUGGUGGUCAGUAUGCUACUUACCCGGGGCAAGAGGGUGUUCGGCCCCAUCUGAUGUGAACUACGCUACCGGUACACGGCACUUUUAGCAGUUUCGUCAUUUUACAUGGGAAAUAGAAAUACUUUCCCCAGUUCUCUUUAGUUGAAUGUUAUUGUCCGGUAUUUGCAGUGUAAUCAGGUUUCGCCCGAGGAAGUAAGAAAGACGACGGACAGCAAGAAGCUGUAGGUCGCAGGACUGAUUUAGGCAGGCGUGAGGAGUACAAGGCGAGGUUGGUGUCGUGAUUUCUGUUUCUGUGUCAUUAACACGUGGCUCUAAGCCGCUUUCUUGAGGCAGAAAAUUGCGGCCUCAGAACAUACUCAGAAACUGUAGCUGCAGAUGUAAAGUACCGAAAACUGACUUCGCCGUGUUCUGGCCGGUAGAGAGUUGUGGCUGACAUUUUAAAAUGUUUUAUGUAGUUAUGAAAAGGUAAGUAUUUAUCGAUGUACCAGAUAUUUAUGUAAAUCUCUCAUUGAGUAUUUUACGAGUCAUAAAAGAAAAUUAAUUCAUGAAAUAACUGCGUUCUUGGUGGCAGCUCCUUCUAGUGUGAAGCAACAGGGGAUUUUGCUUCACACGACAACGAACAGAGCAGUUCGAGUGGCCCAGUACUUGGCAAGAGGUAGACGGCAUUGUUACUUCGUGCCAGACGUCACGUUUCAAGUUGCAGAGCUGUUCAUUAUUGCGUCACACACAAAGCGAUCCUAGCUACAAGGUUUUGUUAAGAUAAAUAAAAUGUACAUCCAAUGUUACAGUGUGCGUGCAACUCGACCCCAAAGGCAAACUUUUUCUGGAAGGUGUUAUUAUUUAUUAAUUUAUUAUAAACAGUUCAUUCUGCAUUGUGAGUUGUCAAGAAUGGAACAGCACAUAACAAUUCCUGUUCGCACUGGGUCUUGAAGCUGACUACUCUCAGACCCAUAGCCUCAAAUACUGUAAUGAGGGAAAUUGAUCGGCCAGUCAUCAAAUUUUGCAUGACGGUACAUUCAGGAUUCUUUUUCCACAGUCCAGGAAGCAGACAGCAACGAGUGCUUCUCGCUGCAGGGAACACUGUUAAAACCACGUCGGCCUUCGUAGGGAAGCCAAUAAAUACAUCAUUGAGUAGUAGCAACAAAUAAUCGUAGUUUUUGUCCCGUAAAAUAGCCAUCUUAAAGAACAUUCGAAAUUAAUAUUUCAUGAAACAUUUGAGUCGUUCGUAUUUUUUGACGCAUGGGGCGUGCAAGUGAAAACACAUUCUUAAUUUCGGCACUAGAUGGAGCGUCACGCCCCACAGCUAGGCUGAAUGCGGUGACAAAAAGAUAGAGCGGUGCCUCGACUGGGAAUCGAUCCCCAGUCGUCCAGCUCGUAGCGUACUUUAAAUUUAUAAUUCACGGGCUGUACUGCAUCGACAGUUCAGAACAGCUCUCAAUUGUGCGAUCAUUCAUGUGCAAAUAACAUAUUUUUAUUUUGCUUCAGGAGUGUACUUCUGGAUAGAUUAAAAUUUCGAAUUUGUGAUUCAAAACGAAAUUCGUUUCUGUGCUGGUGCUAAUAUUGAAACUAGAAGGUGGAGAGAACCCUGAGUUUCCACGGAAUUUGGUUUGGCAAUGACGAAUGAACAAAGAAUAUGUCAGUAGACUUUCGAUGUGAGCGACGACCCUUUGCGGUAUGACAGUUAUACUUUGAGCCGCAUUUCUGUGUGUACGUGUUUGUCGCCGAUUCAUUACCCAAGCCUGAUAAUUUCAACAACUUUUGUUUAGCUGCUAUGUGCUGUUUCACUCAGCGCGCGUGGUUACGAAGUCAUUCACAAUGAGAAAGUUGCACGAGUGAAUGGAGAACACAACUCGCAGUGUUUUAUUUAAUGUACUGGAAUGUGUGAAAGAAUUGUAAACAAGUAAAUUAUAACAAAAUUUA
This is a non-coding RNA of Zootermopsis nevadensis, 3225 nucleotides long. The record is from RefSeq and is a predicted model, not a curated record. NCBI's taxonomy places the organism in Eukaryota, Metazoa, Arthropoda, Insecta, Blattodea, Termopsidae.